AUUGAACGCUGGCGGCAGGCUUAACACAUGCAAGUCGAGCGGUGUGAUGGUGCUUGCACUAUCACUUAGCGGCGGACGGGUGAGUAAUGCUUAGGAAUCUGCCUAUUAGUGGGGGACAACAUCUCGAAAGGGAUGCUAAUACCGCAUACGUCCUACGGGAGAAAGCAGGGGAUCAUUUGUGACCUUGCGCUAAUAGAUGAGCCUAAGUCGGAUUAGCUAGUUGGGGGGGUAAAGGCCUACCAAGGCGACGAUCUGUAGCGGGUCUGAGAGGAUGAUCCGCCACGCUGGGACUGAGACACGGCCCAGACUCCUACGGGAGGCAGCAGUGGGGAAUAUUGGACAAUGGGGGGAACCCUGAUCCAGCCAUGCCGCGUGUGUGAAGAAGGCCUUAUGGUUGUAAAGCACUUUAAGCGAGGAGGAGGCUCUUUUGGUUAAUACCCAAGAUGAGUGGACGUUACUCGCAGAAUAAGCACCGGCUAACUCUGUGCCAGCAGCCGCAGUAA
This 503-nucleotide ribosomal RNA is filed under the name uncultured bacterium. RNAcentral describes it as "partial 16S ribosomal RNA". It matches the Rfam family "Bacterial small subunit ribosomal RNA", at positions 30 to 523 of the family's 1533-position model. The record is from RNAcentral.